GGGGGGACUUUGGGGGAGCAGCAAGGCAGAGAACGGACUACCCUAGGACAACCGCCUCCCCCUCCUGAACUUUUUGAUCUUCUUUCUUUGAAUCUCUAAGGGACCAGCAGAGAAUUCACCUGAACAUAGGGAAAAGAGUGACGAGAGGGAGAGAAAUAGAGGGAACGAUAUAGUGAGAACGAGAGUGAGAAGGGAACGACCAGAAUUUCAUUAAAAGAAAUGGAAAAACGCUACAGAGAGGCUACGUGAGUUUGAUCACGCACUAAAAAAGACGAACGGAAGUACUGUCCUUCAAAUUUUGGUUUUAAAAAUGGAGGUCACCCGAGGUUGUGUUUGAUUCGAGGUUUCCGGUCCGGGUUCGUGAGCUUGAAGCAACCGUUGAUGUGCACUUGAUUUGGAUCUCUAUUGUUUAAUAUUUAAUAUAAAAGGAAGAUUCGUCAAAGGUUUAUUCCUUCCCUUUCCUCUGUUUUUUGAUUUAUCUCCCGUGAGUUGUUUGUGUUUGUUUGCAAUCCAUGCUUUAAUUGUCAUUUUGUGAAUGACUUGCAAAUUUACGUGUGUAUUGAAUCUUGGGAAUACAUGUUGACAUGUUAGUAGAAUGGAGACAGUAGGUGCCCGUAGAGGACAUUUCCGAUUAAAUGAACUUGGGCCAUGGGAGUUCGAACAGAAUGUUAGACUUUGGAUAUUUUUUCUUCUUGUCAUUUUAUUUUAUUUAAUUGGAUCGCUAGGAGUAUGUUAGGCCGAUAACACCUGGGUAGGCAAAUUUUAGGACUUUAUAUUUUAUUUGAGGUUAGAGGUUGUCUCGUAGUUUAUUAUUUUAUCCGGGGUAUGCCCCGUAAUGAAUGUAAUUGGAGGCCGUGACAGACAUCGUGGAGUGAGCAUAGUAUAGACUUUUAGUAUUUUCCUCUUAUUUUAUUUUUUUUAUUAGGUGGGGACGACCUCGAACCUCUUUUGUGUUGAUUUUUGCUUUUGUGUGUUUCUGCCUCAAUCUGAGUAUUCUUUAAAGCCAACUAAAUCGUGUAUGCAACCGUGACUUUCACGGGACUUGGGGAAUGCCUAACACCUUCUCCCCGAGUCAAAUGAACCCCAUUACCUAUAAUUUCUGGUGCAGUCAGUUUUAGAGUCAAAUGUGUUUUGAAGAAAAAUUAUUAUUUUAAAAAUGGUGACCUGGCACACCGAAACCAAAUAUCAGGUGGCGACUCUGAAAAUCCUUCGAAACGCAAUCUUUUUGUCACUUUCAUGAUUGAAAACCCUUUUGUGCUUUAAAACUACUUUAUCCUUUAAAGAGGGUUAAGUGAAGUGAAAAAGGGGUGUGACACAAGCCACUCUCAUAGCUAGGACCUCCCAUGUAGUAGCUUUCUUCUCAAAAAUCCGAGAAUUCCUUUCAAUCCAUAGUGUAUGACUAUACUGUGCAUAAACUAGCUUAAAAACUCUUGCCAGCUGAGAUCUGCCCUUUGUUUUUAUAACUAUCCAUUGAUGAUUUGUUACCCAUGAUUCUAUAGGAGAAUAUUGAAUGUGCAGCCAGUUCAUGAGUUUGUGCUAUAGGUAUUUGCCAUAUUCACAUUCAUCAAAUAAGUGGUCUCGCGUCUCUGGCUCUUGAUGGCAAAAACAACAAGUGUCUUCUAUCUGCAUUCCCCAUUUCUUUAGUCUAUAAGCUGUUAAUACUCUUCCCUGCACCUGAAGCCACAUGGUGAAGAUGACUUUUGGUGUUGCCUGGUUUUGACACAUCAAUCCUUCCCAUGGAACUUUUGGUAAUAUGCCUAGUUGCUGUAGGUACACUUGCUUUGUAACUGUGCCUUGUGACAAGUUGUUAAUACUGUGCAAUCUGUCCCUUGCCUCAAACACCUUUCGAACCAUCCAACAUGCUUGCUUUGGUACUCCUAUAUCCAUAAACUCUUGCUCUUUGAUGUAGUAACUAUGAAUCCAUCUGAUCCAUAACUUAUCCUUCUUGUUAGCCAACUCCCAACAGGUCUUAGUAAUAGCAACUUUGUUCCACAUAGCCAAGUUGAUCAAGUUCAAUCCUCCAGCAGCUUUUGGAGAGCAUAUCCUAUCCCAUGUCACGAAAGACUUUUUAGUUAUUGUAUUCACCCCAGACCAUAUAUAACUUCUAUAGUGUGCUUCAAUUACUUUGAUGACUUUAGCUGGUAUAAUAAAGAUUUGAGCCCAAUAGGCUUGAGUGCCAAAGAUAACUGUUUGGACUAACUGAAUUCUGCCUGCAUAGGACAGUUUCUUUGAUGUCGAUGAAGAAAUCUUGCUCACAAUUUUGGCAAUAAGGGGUUGCCACUGCAGCACCGAAAGCUUCUUCGUAUCAAGAGGUAUGCACAAGUAUUUGAAAGGAAGCACUCCUUGACUCUACCCUAGAGCUUGCUGGAUCUCAUGUUUCAUUUCAUUGUUAACUCCUCCAUAAUAUAUUGAUCUUUUGGCUAGAUUUGCUUUAAG
This 2436-nucleotide long non-coding RNA is filed under the name Nicotiana tabacum (common tobacco). RNAcentral's name for it is "long non-coding RNA (NTAB_LNC003519)". Lineage: Eukaryota; Viridiplantae; Streptophyta; Magnoliopsida; Solanales; Solanaceae. The record is from RNAcentral.